CCUACGGGAGGCAGCAGUGGGGAAUAUUGGACAAUGGGGGCAACCCUGAUCCAGCAAUGCCGCGUGUGUGAAGAAGGCCUUCGGGUUGUAAAGCACUUUCGAUGGGGAAGAAAAGCUCGGUGUUAAUACCGCCGAGUCUGACGAGCAGAG
RNAcentral lists this ribosomal RNA (150 nucleotides) under uncultured bacterium. RNAcentral describes it as "partial 16S ribosomal RNA". It matches the Rfam family "Bacterial small subunit ribosomal RNA", at positions 338 to 492 of the family's 1533-position model. The record is from RNAcentral.